UACGAAGGGGGCUAGCGUUGCUCGGAAUUACUGGGCGUAAAGCGCACGUAGGCGGCUUGUUAAGUCAGGGGUGAAAUCCUGGAGCUCAACUCCAGAACUGCCUUUGAUACUGGCGAGCUUGAGUUCGGGAGAGGUGAGUGGAACUGCGAGUGUAGAGGUGAAAUUCGUAGAUAUUCGCAAGAACACCAGUGGCGAAGGCGGCUCACUGGCCCGAUACUGACGCUGAGGUGCGAAAGCGUGGGGAGCAAACAGG
This 253-nucleotide ribosomal RNA is filed under the name uncultured bacterium. RNAcentral describes it as "partial 16S ribosomal RNA". It matches the Rfam family "Bacterial small subunit ribosomal RNA", at positions 524 to 776 of the family's 1533-position model. The record is from RNAcentral.